UCGGAUGGUUUACGAAGUUUC
Molecule: non-coding RNA, 21 nt
Filed under: Caenorhabditis elegans
Lineage: Eukaryota; Metazoa; Nematoda; Chromadorea; Rhabditida; Rhabditidae
Source: RNAcentral